RNAcentral lists this ribosomal RNA (409 nucleotides) under uncultured bacterium. RNAcentral describes it as "bacterial SSU rRNA". It matches the Rfam family "Bacterial small subunit ribosomal RNA", at positions 355 to 775 of the family's 1533-position model. The record is from RNAcentral.
UUGGGAAUAUUGGACAAUGGGGGAAACCCUGAUCCAGCAAUGCCGCGUGAGUGAUGAAGGCCUUCGGGUCGUAAAGCUCUUUUAGCAGGGACGAAGGGCAACUUGACGGUACCUGCAGAAAAAGCACCGGCUAACUCCGUGCCAGCAGCCGCGGUAAUACGGAGGGUGCAAGCGUUGUUCGGAAUUAUUGGGCGUAAAGCGCGUGUAGGCGGUUUGUUAAGUCUGGUGUGAAAGCCCGGGGCCUAACCCCGGAAGUGCACUGGAUACUGGCAAGCUAGAGGACGAGAGAGGAUAGUGGAAUUCCUGGUGUAGGGGUGAAAUCCGUAGAUAUCAGGAGGAACAUCAGUGGCGAAGGCGGCUAUCUGGCGCGUAACUGACGCUGAGACGCGAAAGCGUGGGGAGCAAACAG